UCUCUGGUGGUUCAGUCACUAGGACUCAACACUUUCGCUGUAGUGGCCCAGGUUCAAUCCCUGGUUGGGGAA
This 72-nucleotide transfer RNA is filed under the name Bos taurus (domestic cattle). It matches the Rfam family "tRNA". From Rfam's summary of the family: Transfer RNA (tRNA) molecules are approximately 80 nucleotides in length. Their secondary structure includes four short double-helical elements and three loops (D, anti-codon, and T loops). The record is from Rfam by way of RNAcentral. Lineage: Eukaryota; Metazoa; Chordata; Mammalia; Artiodactyla; Bovidae. RNAcentral also lists the same sequence under 2 other names.